Molecule: long non-coding RNA, 659 nt
Organism: Ananas comosus (pineapple)
Lineage: Eukaryota; Viridiplantae; Streptophyta; Magnoliopsida; Poales; Bromeliaceae
Exons: 2
Source: RefSeq, a predicted model, not a curated record
GCAGCAGCAGAACUGCUGCUGCUGCUGACUGCAUAAGAAGCAGCAGCAGUAACAGCAGCUGCAAGGGCAGUAUGAGAAAGAAAGAAAGAGAGAGAGGGAGAAAAAGAAAAAGAGAAAAAGAUAGAAGGAAUGAAUGAAAGAUUGAAGAAAAGAGGAAGGAAAUGAGAUACUGAAAAGAUAGUGACAUUGGCGCAAUUCACACCCCUAUUAUCACCAAAUUGGACCUUACAGGGUAUCAAGGCAUGUGAUCUAGUUUGUGACGCACGUCCGGCUAAUCGAAUUGUAAGUGUUUUCAGGCAAUCAUGAGCUGAGGAUGUACGUGAGUAGUACUUUCCUUGCCUGAGCCGAUGUAGCCGUUGAGGGGUUCGUAUACUGUCAGUUGAUCAAGGUGAGGGGGAUCGCACAGUAGUUAGCAUCUCCUACCAGCAUGCCUUUUCAGUAGAGGACCACCAGAUAGAGUGCUAUGUUGUACGAGCUGCCUACACUGGCGAGGGUCUGGGCUGUUUUCGUGUACUUUUCUUUUGAGGUUGAGGGUCAUUUUGGUGUUGUUCGUGUUGUACAACAACUUAUUUUGGGAAUAGCGCUCUGAUACAUGUUAUUUGUUUAUUCGGUACCUUUUCUUGAUUCAUGUGUUGUGGAUACCCCUCAUGUUUGAUCUC